AAGAAAAUAACUUAGAAAGUUUGAGCUUGCUAUAGCAAGAAAAUUUAACCCAUUCAGUAUUCUCUUCCCCAUGAGACAACCCGUUAUAUAGGCUCAAACAAU
Molecule: small nucleolar RNA, 102 nt
Filed under: Nannospalax galili (Upper Galilee mountains blind mole rat)
Lineage: Eukaryota; Metazoa; Chordata; Mammalia; Rodentia; Spalacidae
Description: Small nucleolar RNA SNORA28 (ENSNGAG00000002258.1)
Source: RNAcentral